AGCAGCAGACUGGGUGUAAAGUGUGCGCAGGCGGUUCGGAAAGAAAGAUGUGAAAUCCCAGAGCUUAACUUUGGAACUGCAUUUUUUAACUACCGAGCUAGAGUGUGUCAGAGGGAGGUGGAAUUCCGCGUGUAGCAGUGAAAUGCGUAGAUAUGCGGAGGAACACCGAUGGCGAAGGCAGCCUCCUGGGAUAACACUGACGCUCAUGCACGAAAGCGUGGGGAGCAAACAGGAUUAGAUACCCUGGUAGUCCACGCCCUAAACGAUGUCAACUAGCUGUUGGGGCCUUCGGGCCUUAGUAGCGCAGCUAACGCGUGAAGUUGACCGCCUGGGGAGUACGGUCGCAAGAUUAAAACUGAAAAAAUUGACG
Molecule: ribosomal RNA, 370 nt
Filed under: uncultured Bordetella sp.
Lineage: Bacteria; Pseudomonadati; Pseudomonadota; Betaproteobacteria; Burkholderiales; Alcaligenaceae
Description: bacterial SSU rRNA
Rfam family: Bacterial small subunit ribosomal RNA
Source: RNAcentral